RNAcentral lists this ribosomal RNA (324 nucleotides) under uncultured eukaryote. Its description in RNAcentral is "partial 18S ribosomal RNA". It matches the Rfam family "Eukaryotic small subunit ribosomal RNA", at positions 1470 to 1796 of the family's 1831-position model. The record is from RNAcentral.
CCCUUAGAUGUUCUGGGCAGCACGCGCGCUACAAUGGUCUUCGCAAACGGAUGCAUUCUCGAAGGAGAAUGCCAAUCUUGGAAUCUAUGCCUUGGUCGGGACAGUUGCUUGCAAUUUUUCGACUCGAACCAGGAAUUCCUUGUAAUCGUGAUUCAUCACAUCACGAUGAAUACGUCCCUGCCCUUUGUACACACCGCCCGUCGCUCCUACCGAUUGAAUGUUCCGAUGAAUACCAUGGAUUGAGAGUCUGAAUGGGUUCGCCUAUUUUUGCCUCUCGAGAAGUGGAGUAAAUCUUAGCAUUUAGAGGAAGGAGAAGUCGUAACA